Molecule: ribosomal RNA, 446 nt
Filed under: uncultured soil bacterium
Lineage: Bacteria
Description: bacterial SSU rRNA
Rfam family: Bacterial small subunit ribosomal RNA
Source: RNAcentral
AGAACGAACGCUGGCGGCAGGCUUAACACAUGCAAGUCGAACGGUUGUAGCAAUACAGCAGUGGCAGAUGGGUGAGUAACACGUGGGAACCUUCCUAGGGGUACGGAACAACUCAGGGAAACUUGAGCUAAUACCGUAUACGUCCGUGAGGAGAAAGAUUUAUCGCCCCUAGACGGGCCCGCGUAGGAUUAGGUAGUUGGUGAGGUAACGGCUCACCAAGCCUACGAUCCUUAGCUGAUCUGAGAGGAUGAUCAGCCACACUGGGACUGAGACACGGCCCAGACUCCUACGGGAGGCAGCAGUGGGGAAUCUUGGACAAUGGGCGCAAGCCUGAUCCAGCCAUGCGCGUGAGUGAAGAAGGCCUUACGGGUUGUAAAGCUCUUUUAACCAGGGACGAUAAUGACGUACCUGGAGAAUAAGCCCGGACAACUUCGUGCCAGCAGCCG